GAUGAACGCUGGCGGCGUGCCUAAUACAUGCAAGUCGAGCGAACAGACGAGGAGCUUGCUCCUCUGACGUUAGCGGCGGACGGGUGAGUAACACGUGGAUAACCUACCUAUAAGACUGGGAUAACUUCGGGAAACCGGAGCUAAUACCGGAUAAUAUAUUGAACCGCAUGGUUCAAUAGUGAAAGACGGUUUUGCUGUCACUUAUAGAUGGAUCCGCGCCGCAUUAGCUAGUUGGUAAGGUAACGGCUUAACAAGGCAACGAUGCGUAGCCGACCUGAGAGAGUGAUCGGCCACACAGGAACUGAGACACGGUCCGGACUCCUACGGGAGGCAGCAGUAGGGAAUCUUCCGCAAUGGGCGAAAGCUUGACGGAGCAACGCCGCGUGAGUGAUGAAGGUCUUCGGAUCGUAAAACUCUGUUAUUAGGGAAGAACAAAUGUGUAAGUAACUAUGCACGUCUUGACGGUACCUAAUCAGAAAGCCACGGCUAACUACGUG
Molecule: ribosomal RNA, 497 nt
Filed under: uncultured bacterium
Lineage: Bacteria
Description: partial 16S ribosomal RNA
Rfam family: Bacterial small subunit ribosomal RNA
Source: RNAcentral